UUCACCGGACUUCUAAAUGACACUUCUGCCGGCCCAAUGCACCGUAAACCCGUGCACUCAGUAUAACAGACAUUCAACUGUUAUCCGAAACAUUGUCAAACACAGGGUGAUUACAGUAUUUACAUGAAAAUCCAUGCUAUCAAGUUUGGCUUUUCAGGCACUUGCAUUUAAUCCUGAAGUUGCUCCAGAAAUAUGGGCCCUGCGAAGUGUUUACCUAUAGAUGAGACUGAAGUGUUUACCUAGGGAUGAGACGGAAGUGCUUACCUAGGGACCUCCGUAAGCCUCUACAAAUCCUGCACUACCGACGAAGUUACAUUAUAACAUAAUAAGGACAUAAAUAUCUCUGUGCCAAAAAAUAUAAUUGUGAAAGUAUAGAUUUUAUAUCGGCGUAAAGCAGAUAUUUAUAUAUUUUGUAUACCAACCGCCAGCCAUAAUGGAUGUUCGAGGUCAAAACAGAUAUUUGUAUACCAACCACCAGCCAUAAUGGAUGUUCGAGGUCAAAACAGAUAUUUGUGUACCAACCGCCAGCCAUAAUGAAUGUUCGAGGUCAAAACAGAUAUUUGUAUACCAAACGCCAGCCAUAAUGGAUGUUCGAGGUCAAAACAGAUAUUUGUAUACCAACCACCAGUCAUAAUGGAUGUUCGAGGUCAAAACAGAUAUUUGUAUACCAACCGCCUGCCAUAAUAGAUGUUCGAGGUCAAUAAUCGCAGGAAAAACUUCCAGAACACAGUUCCACACUGACCACAAAAGACAAUAUAUGAAGUAUGAUAUAAGGACGGAUUGAUGCAGAGUUCUACGGUUUCUUCUACCAACAAACCUUUCUGUGUCAUUGAGGUGAAAACUUCUUGAAUACGGCAUGAAACGCUCGUAAAUAAAUAAACAGGGUCUAUUUGUCAUUAA
Molecule: long non-coding RNA, 900 nt
Organism: Liolophura sinensis
Lineage: Eukaryota; Metazoa; Mollusca; Polyplacophora; Chitonida; Chitonidae
Exons: 2
Source: RefSeq, a predicted model, not a curated record